UACAGAGGGUGCAAGCGUUAAUCGGAAUUACUGGGCGUAAAGCGCACGUAGGCGGUUUUUUAAGUCAGAUGUGAAAGCCCCGGGCUCAACCUGGGAAUUGCAUUUGAAACUGGGAAACUAGAGUGUGUGAGAGGGGGGUAGAAUUCCAAGUGUAGCGGUGAAAUGCGUAGAGAUUUGGAGGAAUACCAGUGGCGAAGGCGGCCCCCUGGCACAACACUGACGCUCAGGUGCGAAAGCGUGGGGAGCAAACAGGAUUAGAUACCCUGGUAGUCCACGCCGUAAACGAUGUCUACUAGCUGUUCGUGACCUUGUGUUGUGAGUAGCGCAGCUAACGCACUAAGUAGACCGCCUGGGGAGUACGGUCGCAAGAUUAAA
RNAcentral lists this ribosomal RNA (375 nucleotides) under uncultured bacterium. RNAcentral describes it as "bacterial SSU rRNA". It matches the Rfam family "Bacterial small subunit ribosomal RNA", at positions 524 to 898 of the family's 1533-position model. The record is from RNAcentral.